AAUGAACGCUGGCGGCAUGCCUAAUACAUGCAAGUCGAACGACAUCUUCGGAUCUUGUGGCGCACGGCUGCGUAACGCGUGGGAAUCUGCCCUUGGGUUCGGAAUAACUUCUGGAAACGGAAGCUAAUACCGGCUGAUUACUUACGCCCAAAGAUUUAUCGCCCAAGGAUGAGCCCGCGUAGGAUUAGGUAGUUGGUGAGGUAAAGGCUCACCAAGCCGACGAUCCUUAGCUGGUCUGAGAGGAUGAUCAGCCACACUGGGACGGAGACACGGCCCAGACUCCUACGGGAGGGGGGAAUGGGGGAUAUUGGACUACCGGCGGAGGGAUGAAGCACCAAGGCCGGGAGAGUAAUGUAGGCCUGAAAGAAAUAAAGCGCUUUUACCCAGGAGGAUAAUGACGGUACCGGAAGAAUAAGCUCCGGCUAACUACGUG
This 433-nucleotide ribosomal RNA is filed under the name uncultured bacterium. Its description in RNAcentral is "partial 16S ribosomal RNA". It matches the Rfam family "Bacterial small subunit ribosomal RNA", at positions 29 to 507 of the family's 1533-position model. The record is from RNAcentral.